Molecule: ribosomal RNA, 440 nt
Filed under: uncultured bacterium
Lineage: Bacteria
Description: bacterial SSU rRNA
Rfam family: Bacterial small subunit ribosomal RNA
Source: RNAcentral
AACGCGAAGAACCUUACCAUCCCUUGACAUGGCGUGUUAUCCGGAGAGAUCCGGGGUCCCCUUCGGGGGCGCGCACACAGGUGCUGCAUGGCUGUCGUCAGCUCGUGUCGUGAGAUGUUGGGUUAAGUCCCGCAACGAGCGCAACCCACGUCCUCAGUUGCCAUCAUUAGGUUGGGCACUCUGGGGAGACUGCCGGUGAUAAGCCGCGAGGAAGGUGUGGAUGACGUCAAGUCCUCAUGGCCCUUACGGGAUGGGCUACACACGUGCUACAAUGGCGGUGACAAUGGGCAGCGAAAGGGCGACCUGGAGCGAAUCCCCAAAAGCCGUCUCAGUUCGGAUUGCACUCUGCAACUCGGGUGCAUGAAGGCGGAAUCGCUAGUAAUCGUGGAUCAGCACGCCACGGUGAAUACGUUCCCGGGCCUUGUACACACCGACGCGUA